Molecule: unclassified non-coding RNA, 334 nt
Filed under: soil metagenome
Description: partial contains 5.8S ribosomal RNA, internal transcribed spacer 2, and large subunit ribosomal RNA
Rfam family: 5.8S ribosomal RNA (bases 1-120)
Source: RNAcentral
GAUGAAGAACGUAGCGAAAUGCGAUAAGUAAUGUGAAUUGCAGAGUUCAGUGAAUCAUCGAAUCUUUGAACGCACAUUGCGCCCGCCAGUAUUCUGGCGGGCAUGCCUGUCCGAGCGUCAUUUCAACCAUCAAGCCUCAGGCUUGUGUUGGAGCCCUGCGGCUGCCGCAGCCUCCCAAAACCAGUGGCGGGCUCGCUAUCACACCGAGUGCAGUAGUUUACUCUUCGCUCAGGGCGUGUGGCGGGUGCUAGCCGUGAAACCCCCAACUUCUCAAGGUUGACCUCGGAUCAGGUAGGAAUACCCGCUGAACUUAAGCAUAUCAAUAAGCGGAGGA